AUUUAUUCUUACUCUAAUUAAUAUUAUAAAUAUGAAAGAAUUAAUAACAUAUCAUCUAUAAUGGACGCUAAUCUAUACGACAAUUUGACAUUCUAUCUCGGUACAAGCGUUGGCGUUUCAUUUUGUUUUCCAGCAGAUGAUAUUUUAGAUAUGCAUGUUUCGUAUUGCCAAGAGACUGUCUUGUUGAAUACUAAAAUUUUUAAGUAGCGAGAACCAUCAAAUCAGAUAUAUUUUUAAUAGAGUUUAAAUAUGUAAGCAAUGGUGUUGAACAAUCUACUUAGUGGCGGAGUGUGGGAUAAAAAUCAUACAAUUGAAGUGACACAGCUAUUUCAUCAAGUUAUUAUGCUGCACUGUGUGCUAAAUUUUAGCACGUUUUGAGGGUGGACCUUUGAUGAUCAAAGACAAAGUUUGUGCAUUGUAUGAAAUGAAAAAUGCAUGUAUCUAUUAAUUUACGUCUUCAAUGCAACGUUUUACUAAAAUAGUUCUCCUUAGUAGUAUUGUGGGAUUUUCCUGUUUCAAUCAACCAUGCUUAAACCAUAAAUAAUUUUUGCCAUCAAGCUACAAUGAAACCAUAUAAUAAGACAAGUGAUGGAUUUCUGAAGGAUAAAGAGGCAGAGGACAACCAACGACAACCUGGUUAUGAACCAUCCGACAAAAUCUGCUGACGAUGAGUGUUUAACUCAUAAGCAGACAUGACCAUGUCAUUGUGCCAACCGAGAUGACGCAAAACCGUGCUUCACGCCGAAACACGGUGGAAGUUAAGAUCGUGUGGCGUCGGCAUAGAAUUGGCAACCCCUUCAAUUCCCGAGAAUGCCGUAAAAGGCGACUGAGGAAAUUUAUUAGUCAAGAGAUGGGCAACAGCGUUCCUCUUAAAACAUCGCCAAAAUCUAACUACGGUUGCCAAUUCGCCUGCCAAGCGCGGCAACUACUAACAAAAUCCCCCAAGGGGGAGUCCUUUGUUCAGCAGUGUACAGUGUGAGAAAAGAGUUAAACAUGCAGACAACAGGCCCGUUGCACAAUAAUAUAGAUGCAAUACAGUUUCAUGCGUCAUUAACACGAGAACCCCACAACGUUCACAGUUGGCGUGCAAUCUGUAUCUAGGUGUUGUUGAUGAGAUUUUAACGCAGCGUGGAGAUGUUAAAUAAUGCACUGAAUGAAUUAUUCAGAGCGAGGUAACGACAACUGUUCGCUGUUCGCACAGUUUGCCGGCUAAUGUUUAACAUGAUUAAACAGGAGAUAUAAAGAUGGCACGACGGUGCCUACAUACGUACGAUGCAACAGCAUACCGGACUUGAGGGUAAUAGAUACAUAUAUUUCUCUACUCUUAUCAAGAUUCUAAUUUUAUAUUAUAUGUAUAUGAAUAUAUUUAUCGUGAAAUUUGUUGAGAAGAGGAAACGAUUGACAUCACGGAAUUUUUACUAUUAGGUACUUGAUUGACUAUAGACAAAAAACUAUGAAUAUCCCAGAAUAUCUGACGAUAUUAAGUAAUAUGCUUCCAAACCUAGUUAUUUUACUGCCAUAUCUCACUUUUGAAACCGAAACGCAGCAAUACAAACUAGUUGACAAUACAAGCACAAGUGAGACGCAUGCAUAUUACUUUUGUACAAAGUCUCUCUCUAGUUAAGACUUGGAUUACUUUUAGUCAGUGUAUAAUCUAAUAAAUAAAAAAUAAAAAUGGCAUAUUUAGGAUUACAGAACAUUGCCCCCUAUGCUAUCCGCCGAUCCCUUAAGGUGCUGACAUAAAUUAACAUAUAUUACUCUCCGUUUUGUUUUGUUUGAUUAUGUAUAUAAGAUCAAAUAAUGGAGCUAAUUCUGAACAAUCAUUCUAUAUCUUUAAAACUAUAUUUUCAAUUCGAUAUUAUAGUAUAUCGAAAUCUUCACUAGC
Molecule: long non-coding RNA, 1885 nt
Organism: Galleria mellonella (greater wax moth)
Lineage: Eukaryota; Metazoa; Arthropoda; Insecta; Lepidoptera; Pyralidae
Exons: 6
Source: RefSeq, a predicted model, not a curated record